AUGAAGAAGAUACGUGAGUAUUUUUGGAGGUAUCAAAAGUGACUAUGCUGACAUGAGUAACGAAAAUCAUGUAGAAUCAUGAUCACCGUAUGUUCAAGGGUUUCUGCGUUCUGGUCUACAGCGCAGAGUUAUGUUCGGUCCCUAAGAGAUACACGCAUCCGUGUGCUUAAUGGACAGGAUUUAUAUAGGACGGUACUUGCUUCU
RNAcentral lists this ribosomal RNA (204 nucleotides) under uncultured Micromonas. RNAcentral's name for it is "partial Bacterial large subunit ribosomal RNA". It matches the Rfam family "Bacterial large subunit ribosomal RNA", at positions 1250 to 1452 of the family's 2925-position model. Lineage: Eukaryota; Viridiplantae; Chlorophyta; Mamiellophyceae; Mamiellales. The record is from RNAcentral.